AUUGAACGCUGGCGGCAUGCUUUACACAUGCAAGUCGAACGAGUGGCGAACGGGUGAGUAAUAUAUCGGAACGUACCGAGUAAUGGGGGAUAACCAAUCGAAAGAUUGGCUAAUACCGCAUAUUAUUCGAGCGGCCGAUAACGGAUUAGCGAGUUGGGGGGGUAAAGGCCUACCAAGGCUACGAUCAGUAGCGGGUCUGAGAGGACGACCCGCCACACUGGGACUGAGACACGGCCCAGCCUCCUACGUGAGGCAGCAGUGGGGAAUUUUGGACAAGGGGGGCAACCCUGAUCCAGCCAUGCCGCGUGUAUGAAGAAGGCCUUCGGUUUGUAAAGUACUUUUGUUAGGGAAGCGUUACCCGCAGAAGAAGCACCGGCUAACUCCGUGCCAGCAGCCGCGGUAAUAC
RNAcentral lists this ribosomal RNA (406 nucleotides) under uncultured bacterium. RNAcentral's name for it is "partial 16S ribosomal RNA". It matches the Rfam family "Bacterial small subunit ribosomal RNA", at positions 30 to 526 of the family's 1533-position model. The record is from RNAcentral.